Molecule: unclassified non-coding RNA, 213 nt
Filed under: Hevea brasiliensis (rubber tree)
Lineage: Eukaryota; Viridiplantae; Streptophyta; Magnoliopsida; Malpighiales; Euphorbiaceae
Source: RNAcentral
CAGAUCAGAAAGAUCAACAUUACCUGUAAAAGCAUAGUUUAAGUUCUGAACAUGAGCAACAAGAACAAAAAUAAGUCUAACAUGACGUAAAAGUAAGCUCAAUUAAAACCAGAUUCUAUGAGGGUUAUAAGAAUCUAUGAGGAAACCAGAUUGUACGAGAGUUACAACAAAAGACAAGUUUUGGAGGAAACCAGAUUCUAUGAGGCCUAUAAG